UGUGUCUCUACACAUCCAUGGUGAACAUCCUGUAAAUAAUGGCACAUUGUGGCUUCCUUUUCUUUCUUCUUCAUGAGUUCAUCAUGUUGGUGAAGGUGAGAUUUGGAGAAAUGCAGAAGUAUGUCAAAGUGGCUGAGACUGAAGAUGGUUAUGACUUCAACACAUUUCUUCAGAAAGAUGAAUCAGGGACAGAAGUCGAUGCAGAUGUUUGAGGAUUUUUUGCAAGCAGGGAGCCUUACUGUUCGGGUGACAACUGAAAGGUCAACAGGUCAGGUACAGCCUUGUUGGGGAAAGACUAGAUUAGAAAUAAGUAUUUGGAACUAAUUCUUUUUUUUCCACUUUGUGUAUAAAUGUUUUCAACUGUUUCCAGUUGUGCUUCAACAUGAUUUAUCAUCUGCUUCGUUGGAGUCAACCAUGUCAGGCAACUCAUCUGUGGCCAUUUCUGGAGACUCCUUGCUAGCGUCCUCUGAUUCAUCUGAUGCCGCAGUGAUUGUUCACACAAACGGAGGGACGAGAACACAUGCUGAACGGGAAGUGGCAAAAGAGGUGUGCAGCUUUUCUAACAAAUGAUGUAAAACAUCAUGCACAAAGAUAUUUAGCUGUUAAACCGUGGCUGGUUUGUUGAAUUUGAUCAAGAUUGAUGAAAAUUCAGACUUUGUGACGCUUCAUCUUGUAGAUGUUGAGAAAUGUUCUCCAGGCUAAACCAGGUGGACAGGUUAUUUUGGAUGAAUAUGAUAAAAUGAGAACAAGAAGACGUUUGGUCAACCUUCUUGUGGCCAACAUGGUUGAAAUGAAUGGGAUGAUCCCACCAGUCUCCAUGACAACUAAAUAUGCUUUGG
Long non-coding RNA from Girardinichthys multiradiatus, 839 nucleotides. RefSeq lists it as uncharacterized. The record is from RefSeq and is a predicted model, not a curated record. NCBI's taxonomy places the organism in Eukaryota, Metazoa, Chordata, Actinopteri, Cyprinodontiformes, Goodeidae. The transcript is spliced from 3 exons.